UACGUAGGGGGGCGAGCGUUGUCCGGAUUUAUUGGGCGUAAAGAGCUCGUAGGCGGCUCAGUAAGUCAGGUGUGAAAACUCCAGGCUCAACCUGGAGACGCCACCUGAUACUGCUGUGGCUAGAGUCCGGUAGGGGAGCAUGGAAUUCCUGGUGUAGCGGUGAAAUGCGCAGAUAUCAAGUGGAACACCAGUGGCGAAGGCGAAUCCCUGGAAAAUACCUGACACUGAGGCACGAAAGCUAGGGGAGCAAACAGG
This 255-nucleotide ribosomal RNA is filed under the name uncultured bacterium. RNAcentral describes it as "partial 16S ribosomal RNA". It matches the Rfam family "Bacterial small subunit ribosomal RNA", at positions 524 to 776 of the family's 1533-position model. The record is from RNAcentral.